GAGAAUCUGCCUUCAGGAGGGGGAUAACGACUGGAAACGGUCGCUAAUACCCCAUAUGCCUCCGGGUGAAAAGUAAUUCGCCUGAAGAUGAGCUCGCGUCAGAUUAGCUAGUUGGUGGGGUAAGAGCCUACCAAGGCGACGAUCUGUAGCUGGUCUGAGAGGAUGAUCAGCCACACUGGGACUGAGACACGGCCCAGACUCCUACGGGAGGCAGCAGUGGGGAAUUUUCCGCAAUGGGCGCAAGCCUGACGGAGCAAGACCGCGUGGGGGAUGACGGCCUAAUGGUUGUAAACCCCUUUUCUCUGGGAAGAAGACUGACGGUACCAGAGGAAUCAGCCUCGGCUAACUCCGUGCCAGCAGCCGCGGUAAUACGGAGGAGGCAAGCGUUAUCCGGAAUUAUUGGGCGUAAAGCGUCCGUAGGUGGUUAUUCAAGUCUGCUGUCAAAGCGUGGGGCUUAACUCCAUAGAGGCAGUGGAAACUGAGUGACUAGAGUGCCGUAGGGGUAGAGGGAAUUCCCGGUGUAGCGGUGAAAUGCGUAGAGAUCGGGAAGAACAUCGGUGGCGAAAGCGCUCUACUGGACGGCAACUGACACUCAGGGACGAAAGCUAGGGGAGCGAAUGGGAUUAGAUACCCCAGUAGUCCUAGCUGUAAACGAUGGAUACUAGGUGUAGCUUGUAUCGACCCGAGCUGUGCCGAAGCUAACGCGUUAAGUAUCCCGCCUGGGGAGUACGCACGCAAGUGUGAAACUCAAAGGAAUUGACGGGGGUCCGCACAAGCGGUGGAGUAUAUGUUGUAAUUCGAUGCAACUCGAAGAACCUUACCAAGGCUAUACAUGUCGAGAAUAUCGGUGAAAGCUGGGAGUGCCUUCGGGAGCCGAGAACACAGGUGGUGCAUGGCUGUCGUCAGCUAUUGUCGUGAGAUGUUGGGUUAAGUCCCGCAACGAGCGCAACCCUCGUCUUUAGUUGCCAGCAUUAAGUUGGGCACUAUAGAGAGACUACCGGUGACAAAC
RNAcentral lists this ribosomal RNA (1009 nucleotides) under uncultured organism. RNAcentral describes it as "bacterial SSU rRNA". It matches the Rfam family "Bacterial small subunit ribosomal RNA", at positions 119 to 1163 of the family's 1533-position model. The record is from RNAcentral.